GUAGCCUAUAGGGAAGGGCGUUGGAAGGAUCACCCAGAACUCAAGGGACCUGGCCGGAAGCCUGCAGGCUUGGUCAAGGCUUAGAGACUUGACUGAGGCCUGUGGAGGUGGAUGUGGCUAAAAUUUGACCGGGCAGCCUGUGGGCGUGGCUGAAGAGCAUGGGGGUGUGGUCAGAGCUGGAGGUGUGGCCGAAGAGUGUGGGGGCGUGGCCAGGGCGCCUGGUCUUAGACAAGCCCCUGGAUGGGAGUGCCACCAACAUGUUUCCAGCACUGGAGCCGUCCUUCUCUUCUCUAUGUGGGCCGGAAGCGGAUGCAGGUGGAGCACCCCGAGAAGGCUGUGCCUCGCGUGAGGAACCUGGUGGAGGCCGACUAUUCCUACUGGACCCUGGCCUACGUGAUCUCCCUGCAAGGCGCCCGCAAACUGCUGGCUGCUGAGCCGCUCUCCAAGAUGCUGCCUGUGGAC
RNAcentral lists this long non-coding RNA (462 nucleotides) under Homo sapiens (human). RNAcentral describes it as "HSALNT0256660". The record is from RNAcentral. Lineage: Eukaryota; Metazoa; Chordata; Mammalia; Primates; Hominidae.